GGACGGCUCAUUAAAACAGCUAUAAUCUACUCGGAAUUGUAUCCUAAACGGAUAUCUGCGAUAAUUUUGGAGCUAAUACGUGCACUUAACGGAUGCUUUACGGCGUCUGGCAUUUAUUAGAUUAAGGCCAAUCGGGGCAACCCGCUUUGGUGAACUCUGAAUAAAUUUGCGGAUCGCAUGGUCUUGUACCGGCGACAGUUCGAUCGAGUAUCUGCCUUAUCAACUUUCGAUGGUAGUUUAUUCGACUACCAUGGUUGUGACGGGUAACGGAGGAUAAGGGUUCGACUCCGGAGAGGGAGCCUGAGAAACGGCUACCACAUCCAAGGAAGGCAGCAGGCGCGUAAAUUACCCACUCUCAAUGCGAGGAGGUAGUGACUAUCAAUAACGAGGCAGAUCUCUAUGAGGCCUGCUAUUGGAAUGAGCACAAUGUAAAUGC
This 436-nucleotide ribosomal RNA is filed under the name Myctolaimus sp. RS5442. RNAcentral describes it as "SSU rRNA". It matches the Rfam family "Eukaryotic small subunit ribosomal RNA", at positions 91 to 532 of the family's 1831-position model. The record is from RNAcentral. Lineage: Eukaryota; Metazoa; Nematoda; Chromadorea; Rhabditida; Cylindrocorporidae.